RNAcentral lists this microRNA precursor (132 nucleotides) under Gossypium barbadense (sea-island cotton). RNAcentral describes it as "MIR7502 microRNA precursor family". It matches the Rfam family "MIR7502 microRNA precursor family". Lineage: Eukaryota; Viridiplantae; Streptophyta; Magnoliopsida; Malvales; Malvaceae. RNAcentral also lists the same sequence under 1 other name. The record is from Rfam by way of RNAcentral.
UAAUAAAAAUUUAAUCCAUUUCAACUAUUAAAAACUAGAGUGGCUGAUAAAAUAACCACAUGUACCUCAUGUACCUCGUGCUGAUGUACUAGGACUAGUUUUUAACAGUAGAAAUAGAUGGAUUUUUUAACA